GAUGAAGAACGCAGCGAAAUGCGAUAAGUAAUGUGAAUUGCAGAAUCCAGUGAAUCAUCGAAUCUUUGAACGCACAUUGCGCCCGCCAGCAUUCUGGCGGGCAUGCCUGUUCGAGCGUCAUUUCAACCCUCGACCUCCCCUUGGGGAGGUCGGCGUUGGGGACCGGCAGCACACCGCCGGCCCUGAAAUGGAGUGGCGGCCCGUCCGCGGCGACCUCUGCGUAGUAAUACAGCUCGCACCGGAACCCCGACGCGGCCACGCCGUAAAACACCCAACUUCUGAACGUUGACCUCGAAUCAGGUAGGACUGCCCGCUGAACUUAAGCAUAUCAAUAAGCGGAGGA
Molecule: unclassified non-coding RNA, 343 nt
Filed under: soil metagenome
Description: partial contains 5.8S ribosomal RNA, internal transcribed spacer 2, and large subunit ribosomal RNA
Rfam family: 5.8S ribosomal RNA (bases 1-120)
Source: RNAcentral